GUCAUUCUGAGUCCUCGUGGACUCCUUUUCCUUGCAUUUCGAAAUGGGCCACGGAGGCCCAAGUUCAUUCUCCUUCUCGAGUCAACCCUCAAUCACCAACAUUGGAGCAAACGAACAGGGUCAAUUGGAAGCGAAAGAGGAUGUAUACAUGUUUUAUACAUUAUGAUACAACAGAAAGAGGGUCCAAAAAAAGUGCCCUAAAUUUUCAGCUUUGUAUUUUGUUACUUUGGGCCUAAGCCCUUGUCACUUUCAUUAUUAUUUUGCUAGAAUUUAGGACAGGUGGAGGAAUAUUGGGCCUAAGGCCCAAAACAAAAUAUCUUAUAUAUAUUAGACUAGGACAGGUGCAGCUGAUUUAAAUGGGCCAAAGGCCCAAAACGAGAUUAGGUCCAAGUACUGGCCCAGGCGAACAGAUCCAGACUUGGGCCCAAAUUCUCUUUCCCUAUCUAUUUAACUGCUAUUAUGUGCUUAUUUGUUAAAAAAUAAUAUUAAGGUCUCGAAACUUCAAAUCUCCAAAAGACAUCCAUUUUGAAUUAAUCGCUUAACUAAAUUAUUUCUCUUUCACUCUGCUUAAAAAAUAAAUAAAUAAUAAAUAAAUAAGUUUAUGAAAUACUUCACUUAGAUAAUAUUUCAUUAUUUUUUUAUUAAAAUGGUCUCAACUAUAAAGUAGUUCACUUUUACAAUUCAAGAUGAGUGAAAAUAUUUUAGCCAAAUAAUUAAUUAUCGGAUAACCGCAUAUUAGCGGGCAUUUCGGGUGCUUUCAAACCCUUCCCAAAAUGCUAAUAAGAACCCCGAACCCCUUUUAAGUUUUCAUUAGAUUUUCUGUUUCAGUCUUUUGAAAACAACAGUUUUAGUGGCGACUCUUAAAUCAGUCCAAAUAAUAUUUUUAAAUAAAACACUGCUUCAACUACAGAACGGUGGGGGAAUUUAAAAUUUCAGUGGACAAAAAUGGUAGGCGAGAUAGCACAUACUUACACAUAUCUUCAAAGCUGAAAUACAGGGUUCCUAAGUACUACCAAGCUCCUCAGAAGCCAAAUCCAAAAUGGGCAGUACACCUACAGGAAGAGACGAAUCAACAGAGAAAUGAAAAGAAGGUAAUAAUAAAAAAUGGUAAAGGACAAACCUUUGUCAACUGAUAUUGGCAACAAAGUAGAAGACCAAUGAUGGAGAAUUAAUUACCCAUAGGAGAAGGAAGCAAAGUUAAUUGUUGGUGGGCACAAGGCGGAACAUUUUCAGUAGAGGGAGCUGAAGAUUC
This 1252-nucleotide long non-coding RNA is filed under the name Solanum tuberosum (potato). RNAcentral's name for it is "long non-coding RNA (STUB_LNC007659)". Lineage: Eukaryota; Viridiplantae; Streptophyta; Magnoliopsida; Solanales; Solanaceae. The record is from RNAcentral.